Molecule: long non-coding RNA, 211 nt
Filed under: Lathyrus oleraceus (garden pea)
Lineage: Eukaryota; Viridiplantae; Streptophyta; Magnoliopsida; Fabales; Fabaceae
Description: Pisum sativum (pea) long non-coding RNA (PSAT_LNC022087)
Source: RNAcentral
UCAAUGAUAGUGUAAGACCCCAAUUUUUACCAUAAUAUCUCUCAUAGCAUCAUAACAUUGCAUUUGCACAGCCUCAAGGAUCAUGAGCAUCUUGGUUCCUUUUGCCUUUGGGUGGGACUCCUUGUAAUUGGUUUGAGAACACCAAGCAUGCUUGAAUUAUACAUCAUUGUUUCUCUUACUUUUGUUUACUAAAAAAAAUAAAAGUAAAAAU